CGCCUCCUGAUUUUUUAUAGGAGGUCUAGCCUGCCCAGUGACAAAGUUAAACGGCCGCGGUACCCUAACCGUGCAAAGGUAGCGCAAUCACUUGUUCUUUAAAUGAGGACUAGUAUGAACGGCAUCACGAGGGUUAUGCUGUCUCCCUACUUUAUUCAGUGAAACUGAUCUCCCCGUGAAGAGACGGGGAUAAAAAUAUAAGACGAGAAGACCCCAUGGAGCUUUAAACUCAGUAUCAACUGCCAUAUUUAAAACCUAAUAUUUAAGCAAUUUCUGACUACUAGUUUUCGGUUGGGGUGACCACGGAGUAAAAUCUAACCUCCACGAUGAAAGGAAAUAAUAACCUAAAUUAAGAGCUACAGCUCUAAAUAUCAAUAAAUUGACUCAUUGAUCCAAUUACUUGAUCAACGAACCAAGUUACCCUGGGGAUAACAGCGCAAUCCAUUUCAAGAGCUCCUAUCGACAAAUGGGUUUACGACCUCGAUGUUGGAUCAGGGUAUCCCAGUGGCGCAGCCGCUACUAACGGUUCGUUUGUUCAACGAUUAAAACCCU
RNAcentral lists this ribosomal RNA (552 nucleotides) under Microhyla heymonsi (Taiwan rice frog). RNAcentral's name for it is "partial 16S ribosomal RNA". It matches the Rfam family "Bacterial large subunit ribosomal RNA", at positions 1832 to 2597 of the family's 2925-position model. Lineage: Eukaryota; Metazoa; Chordata; Amphibia; Anura; Microhylidae. The record is from RNAcentral.